Molecule: transfer RNA, 86 nt
Filed under: Felis catus (domestic cat)
Lineage: Eukaryota; Metazoa; Chordata; Mammalia; Carnivora; Felidae
Rfam family: tRNA
About the family: Transfer RNA (tRNA) molecules are approximately 80 nucleotides in length. Their secondary structure includes four short double-helical elements and three loops (D, anti-codon, and T loops).
Source: Rfam by way of RNAcentral
GCCUGGGUGGCUCAGUCGGAUUGAGCGUCCGACUUCGGCUCGGGUCAUGAUCUCGCGGUUUGUGAGUUCGAGCCCCAUGUCGGGCU